UUUGUGUGCCUGCGUAAUCAGUAACUCAUUAACUAUUGCGAAAAUUGCAAAACCGUAAAGGAUUUUUCUGUUCAGAUUAAUGCGCUCUAUCUGCUUGUAAAUGUUGUCUGCAGUUUUACACGACACUCAUAUAUGUAACCUAUUAAAGAAUAUAUUAGUAUAUGUAACACUACAAUAUUAUUUGGUUCCUGUAGAUUUUUUAUCUUUCUCUUCUUUCAAAUUGCCAUUUGAAGCGCGAAGAAAACGAGAAGUGUAAAUUACCAAAUCUGGUAUUAAAACAUAUGGGCGAUCGUUGGAGUGGACCGCACCGAAAACGGCCGGCAUUGACGAGAUCGAGCCGAGAAUGCGCGGACGGAGCGGGAAAAGGAGUCAGAAAAAAAUGCUAUGCGCUAUUUUGAAUUUCGGAAAGCCUGCGCCUCCGUGAUCUGCGUUGAUGUUGCGAGUCGUAAACGUCCGCGGGGCGCCGGAACGACGACGGGGCCGCUUUUAUCGCCGCAGCACGGAGAGACGCGCAGUGCUCGAACGGACACGCUCGGAAUCGAUUUUCCGACGGUGGUGGUUCUACCGUCGACCGCUCGCGGGCUUACCGCGCGUUACGUUUACUCCACCUUUCGCGGGAGAACUCCCGCGAUUCCUCCCGCCGGAGCUACUGCUCCGUUACCUCGGUAGAUAUCGUCGUGAUUACGCGACGACGAUUUCGCGUCGUCGGUAUGACAUCAGGAUUGCAUUCGUACCUUGGUUCUCAGCGGCAAGCCCGUGAUCGAAGAUAUCGGGAUUCCGAGCCGUGGACCGUGGUUGCGAAUUAACGAGCGGAAGUAUAAGCGAAGCGGGGACGGCGAGAACAACGGCGACAACGGUGGCGGUGCCAACGGUGGCGAGGGUGAAGAGGGUGUGAGACAACGAGAGGGUGAAUCGGCAGAGCGACAGAGCGAACAAGAAUGACGGGCGAGGACGGAAAACGCAGUGGCGACACCGGCGACGUUACCACCGAGACGAACAUGAACACGAACGUCACCGACAACGCGAAUAACGUUAACGCUAAUGUUAACGCCAACAUAAACGUCAGCCAGCAGAACGGCGAACCGGAAAAGGCUCCCGUAGUCGGCGGUACCAACGUGGAAACGCUACCACGGGCCGGAAAACAGAGUGAUCCUAGUACUGCAUUUUUGCGGGCAGCUCGUGCUGGACAACUCGAGAAAGUCUUGGAAUACUUGGAAUCCGGAGUAGAUAUUAACGCUUCUAAUGCCAAUGGCUUAAACGCUUUGCAUCUGGCAGCUAAGGACGGCCACUUGGAAAUCGUGAGAAAACUCCUAAAUCGCGGCGCAAUUGUGGACGCCGCUACCAAAAAGGGAAACACGGCAUUACACAUAGCUUCGCUUGCUGGACAAGAGGAGGUUGUACAAUUGCUGGUAGCACGAGGUGCUUCUGUAAACGCACAAUCGCAAAAUGGGUUCACGCCUCUGUACAUGGCUGCUCAGGAGAACCACGACUCGGUGGUCAAGUUCCUCCUCAGCAAGGGUGCAAAUCAAACAUUGGCCACCGAGGACGGUUUCACUCCAUUGGCGGUGGCUAUGCAACAAGGUCACGACAAGGUAGUAGCCGUUCUAUUAGAAAAUGACACACGUGGUAAAGUUCGACUGCCUGCUCUACACAUCGCCGCUAAGAAAGACGACUGCAAGGCGGCUACUCUACUUUUACUAAAUGAUCAUAAUCCCGAUGUAACAUCGAAAAGCGGUUUUACGCCGCUUCACAUAGCCGCACAUUAUGGCAACGACCGAAUCGCUUCCUUGCUUUAUGAGAAAGGCGCAGAUAUUAAUUUUGCGGCAAAGCACAAUAUCACACCAAUGCACGUGGCGGCGAAAUGGGGUAAGAUUAAGAUGGUUAAUCUCCUCAUGAGCAAGGGAGCAAACAUCGAAGCGAAAACGAGAGAUGGUCUAACUCCUCUGCACUGCGCGGCCAGGUCCGGCCAUCACGAAGUAGUUGACAUUCUCAUCGAAAAGGGGGCACCCAUUGGCUCAAAAACGAAGAAUGGUCUUGCCCCGUUACACAUGGCUUCUCAAGGGGAUCACGUUGACGCCGCGAGAAUUUUGUUAUAUCACCGUGCACCCGUGGACGAAGUCACGGUGGACUAUUUGACUGCGCUACAUGUGGCUGCGCACUGCGGCCACGUACGCGUAGCCAAGCUACUUCUUGAUAGAAACGCCGAUCCCAACGCGCGAGCGCUCAAUGGAUUUACCCCUCUUCAUAUCGCGUGCAAGAAGAAUCGUAUUAAGGUCGUCGAACUCCUCCUAAAGCACAAAGCAAGCAUCGAAGCUACGACUGAGUCCGGAUUAACUCCAUUGCAUGUAGCGAGUUUUAUGGGAUGUAUGAAUAUCGUGAUUUACUUAUUGCAACACGAAGCUAGUCCCGAUAUACCGACAGUGAGAGGCGAAACGCCGUUACACUUAGCUGCCAGGGCGCACCAAACUGAUAUUAUUAGGAUACUUCUUAGAAACGGUGCCCAAGUCGAUGCUAGAGCAAGAGAGGAACAGACACCGCUUCAUGUCGCUUCUCGCCUAGGUAACGUCGAUAUUGUGAUGUUAUUGCUGCAGCAUGGUGCGGGCGUAGAUGCUACAACGAAAGAUUUAUAUACACCGCUUCAUAUCGCUGCUAAAGAAGGCCAAGAGGAGGUUGCAUCCGUUUUAUUAGAAAAUAACGCCUCGCUUACCGCAACGACCAAGAAAGGAUUUACUCCCUUGCAUUUAGCGGCCAAGUACGGCAAUAUGAACGUAGCCCGAUUGUUACUACAAAAGAAUGCGCCUGUUGACGCUCAAGGAAAGAACGGAGUAACGCCUCUUCAUGUGGCCUCUCAUUACGAUCAUCAAAACGUGGCUUUACUUUUACUUGAUAAAGGAGCUUCGCCACAUGCCAUGGCUAAAAAUGGCCACACACCAUUGCAUAUCGCUGCACGCAAAAAUCAGAUGGACAUUGCAACUACUUUGCUAGAAUACGGAGCGAAAGCUAAUGCAGAAUCAAAGGCUGGUUUUACGCCGUUACAUUUGAGCGCACAAGAAGGCCACACUGAUAUGUCAACCCUUCUUAUCGAGCAUAAAGCAGACACAAAUCACAAAGCGAAGAAUGGUCUUACGCCCCUACAUUUAUGCGCACAAGAAGAUAAAGUGAACGUCGCUUGCAUUCUUGUGAAGAAUGGUGCUCAGAUCGAUGCUAAAACUAAGGCUGGAUACACGCCAUUACAUAUGGCGUCUCACUUUGGUCAGGGAGCUAUGGUACGAUUCCUUCUAAGAUCUGGUGCUGCCGUUGACAGCAGCACCAAUGCUGGCUACACUCCUCUCCAUCAAGCUGCGCAACAAGGACACACGCUCGUUAUUAAUCUGUUAUUGGAAAGUAAAGCUAAACCGAAUGCUGUAACUAACAAUGGACAGACUGCUCUGGAUAUUGCACAAAAACUCGGCUACAUAAGUGUCAUUGAAACGCUGAAAGUUGUAACAGAGACUGUCAUCACAACAACUCACACCGUCACCAUUGAAGAAAAAUACAGAGUUCAGGCACCCGAAUCCAUGCAAGAGACAUUUAUGAGUGACAGCGAGGACGAGGGCGGUGGUGAUGAAAUCGGCACGGCAGCCAUGAAUGUGUACGGGCAGCCUCCGCACGCGCAACACGUGUACCUUCCUUCUUACUACCAGGGCCAAAUGACCUAUACCCGUGAAGAUCCAAUGCUCAGCGACCAACAGCAGUAUCGAUACAUGACUGUUGACGACAUGAAGUCCAUGGGGGAUGACUCGAUGCGCGUGAACGUGACGGACGACGAGAGAGAUAAUCGACAUUCCGGAGCGCCAACCAUAACAGAGAUGAUUACGAAAGAACAUUAUCAACGUACAAACGCAGCCAAUCUUAAACCAGACAAUGUAGACAUCAAUAGGCAUCCUGUGCAUGUCGGCAGAAUUCCACAGUGGAGAAAUUUCCUGGUUUCCUUCUUGGUGGAUGCGAGAGGUGGUGCGAUGCGCGGAUGCAGACACAGUGGCGUCCGCGUGAUUGUUCCACCGCGUAAGGCUGCGAUGCCAAUGCGCGUCACAUGCAGAUAUCUGAGGAGAGACAAAUUGACCAACCCACCGCCCUUGAUGGAGGGAGAAGCGUUGGCCAGCCGAAUCCUUGAAUUGGGUCCUGUGGGUGCAAAAUUUCUGGGUCCCGUUAUCAUAGAGGUGCCACAUUUCGCGUCACUGCGCGGAAAGGAACGGGAAAUAGUGAUUCUACGAUCAGACAACGGAGAGACUUGGCGUGAGCACACUUUGGAAGCCAGCGAGGAGGCUGUCCAGGAUGUGCUUAAUGAGAGCUUUGAGGGAGAAGAGUUAAGCCAGCUAGAGGAUCUCCAGACGUCUCGUAUCGUUAGGAUACUCACUGUAGAUUUCCCACAUUAUUUCGCGGUGGUAUCUCGCAUUCGGCAAGAAGUCCACGCGGUUGGUCCCGAAGGCGGCACCGUGUCGUCAUCCGCUGUACCACAAGUACAAGCUGUCUUCCCACAAGCGGCCCUUACUAAGAAGAUCAGAGUCGGUCUGCAGGCACAUCCUAUACCAGCGGAUCUCGUGGCUAAGUUACUCGGAAACAGAGUGGCCGUGUCACCGAUCGUUACCGUCGAACCAAGACGAAGGAAGUUCCAUAAGCCGAUAACUUUAACUAUUCCAGUACCACAGGCGGCGAAUAAAGGCAUGAUCAACCAGUAUUCCGGGGAUGCGCCGACUCUGAGACUCCUGUGCAGCAUAACUGGAUUGAGUCAUUUAGGGGGUCAGACUCGGGCAGUCUGGGAGGACGUCACAGGCUCGACGCCGUUGACUUUUGUGAAAGAUUGCGUUUCGUUCACCACCACAGUUUCCGCCCGCUUCUGGUUGAUGGACUGCCGUAAUAUUUCCGAGGCCACAAAAAUGGCCACGGAACUUUACACGCAUGCAACACAUGUGCCCUUCAUGGCUAAAUUUGUAGUAUUUGCGAAACGGGUAGAUCCAUUGGAAGCGAGACUGCGUGUAUUCUGUAUGACGGACGACAAAGAGGAUAAGACUUUAGAGCAUCAGGAACAUUUUACAGAAGUCGCAAAGAGUAGAGACGUUGAGGUUCUCGAAGGAAAAACGCAAUAUAUGGAAUUUUCUGGAAAUCUUGUACCCGUUCUGAAAACGGGUGAACAGCUACAAUUGCCAUUCAGAGCUUUCAAGGAAAAUAGGGUCCCGUUCACCGCGAGAAUAAAGGAUCCGGAUGCCGCAGAUAUGAUGGGUCGAAUCAUGUUUAUGAGUGAACCUAAGGUUCCGAGAGGUGAAUUGCCGCAGACGCCGAUCUGCACGCUAAAUAUUUUGCUGCCGGAGAAGAUUUCUCCAGAUACCGCAGUCUCCGAACUGGAUUUGUUGGAAUUGUCAAAGAACUACAGCUUCUUACGCGAUGGCGGAAUAAGUAGACCAGAUGCUAUACACAGAGCAACUAUCCGUCUAACAGACAUUGCUAAUCUAUUGGAUAAGGAUUGGGAGCCACUAGCAGAAGAGUUGAAUAUCUCACCCAACGACGUGGCCCUGAUAAAACAAGAAUACUCUGACAAACCCGCACAACAAGCUGCCGCCAUGUUCAAAAUCUGGCAGAACAGUGGAAACAAAGCUACAGGAAACACGUUAGAAAAGGCUCUCAAUAAAAUUGGACGAGAAGAUAUAGUGAACAAAUGUAUCUUCAAUGUUGAGUUAGUCACAGACGACGUUGAAAAAGCUGUGGCGAGAGUAAGACUGGAUCAGCCGGGAUUUGAUUCGCUAAAGGAAGAAUUAGGGCCGUCGAGAAACACGUCACUUCGCCGUGAUGCAACUAUGGAUCCUAAGAUGGACCCUGAUUAUGAAGAGCCUGAUAGAAUGAAGGAUUCUGAAUCGAUCGAGGAUCUCAGUAUCACACGCGAUAAACCCAAAGAGCACAUCACAAUCACAAACGGCACUGUAUUCAACGGAACCUCGACCCCCAUCAAAGACAAAUACGCGAGCGACGAGAAAGAGCUCGGCGACAUGAUGGCUGAUUACCUUGAGCACAAAUGCCACACGACCGACACGAUGAGCAAAAAGUCGCGCGACGAACUGGAUGAUCCGGAGAAAAUACGCCAGAAAGCGAUCGCCGAUGCCAACAAGAUAGUCUCUGGUGUAAUAGCAGACGCAGAGAAAGAGAAGGGGAAGUUAGCGAAGGAAGGGUGGUCGGUGGUUUAUGAUGAUGAUGAUGCGCGGGACAAUAAAGAGGCGCGGGGUGCGAUAGGGCAGACUGUAAUUAACGUUCCCUUAGAUCAGGCGGCCGCUGAGCCGAAGGGUUUCAUUCCCAAAUCAGAGCAAAUCCCUAGUAUUGAACCGCCGAUGGUUAAGCAGCAUCGCGCUGAGACACCAGAUCCCAAAGUUAGCACUUCAAAAACAGUAGUUUCUGUUAGUGGCGAUCCGAAAGUAGGACAGACCGUAAUUACUAAGACUACACUAAUAAAACAGACGCCGACUAAAACCGUGACUACGAAAGAAAUGGUAAUUGUUUCCUCUGAUAAGAAAGACGUUGUUAGCGAAAAAGAAAAAUUAUCUAAGGAGGGUAAGGAAGUCGACGAAAAAUUGAUUCAGGGCGCAGUUUCUACGGGCGUUACACAAAAGACAGCAAAGGCUGAAACUGUAAAAGUCCGUGAUCAGAAAAAACCAGAAGCAAAAGCUCUUUUAGGCAAAGACAAAGAUAAGAAAAAAGAUAAGGAUAAGGAGAAGGAAAAAGACAAAGGCAAGGAGAAGGAGAAAGAUAAAGAUAAGGAGAAUGAGAAGGAUACAGACAAGGAGAAAGAGAAGGAUAAAGACAAAGACAAGGAUAUGGAGAAGGAUAAAGAUAUUAUUAUGAAGACUGCGAAAACAUCGGCUUAUGAAGACGUUUAUAAUGUGCAGCAUUCGGCAGACAGCACAGAAGAAAAAUCAGACGAAGAGACGAAGAAAACGAAGGAUAAAAGCGGCGGAAUAUUUUCGGGAAUUUUCAAAGGUUCCAAAUUGAAGAGAAGCAAAAAAGGUUCGAAGGAUACAUCUUUUGACAGUGGCGACGAGGAAUCGAAGGCUGUCUUAACAAAAGUCUCAGAACGGCAACUGGAACUUCUUUCUAGCGAAGUGACCGACUCGUAUUUUGAUAGUAAGCUACCGGAAAUUACAACCGCAUCCGAUGUAAGAUUGGCUACCGUGGAAUUUUUAGAGGAUUCUAGACGAAUCGCUGCAGGUAUGCAUGCACCUUAUGAAGGUUUUGCUAAACCAGCGGAAAAAGAAGACAAGAAACCAGAGGUUGCCGAGAGCGAUGAUGAUGGCAAGGACAAGACGGGUUUCUUCUCGAACUUGUUUAAAAGUAAGUCUAAAAAGGACGAAGACGCUUUACCUGUUAUUCACGUCGAAAAACCUAAAGAAAGUACAGAGCAAAUUGCGAAGAAAGAAAAGAAGAAGCUAGCAGCAAUUGCGAAAGAAAACGAAGAUCUACUGGACCUACAAAUGAAGGAAAAUGAGAAAGAAGCUGAAGCAUCUAAGAUUGUUGACGCAUCUAGUACAAUCGAAAAAGAAGCGGAGAAAACUGUAAAGACCGGCGCGAAAGUCGUCGAAGAUACUAAAAGCAAAGCACCCGAACAGAUCAUUGCUUCAACGAAUGAACAGCUACCCAGUAAAGAUGAUGAAAAAGAAGAUCAGAUAAAAGAAAAGAGUGGGUUCUUCGGCAUUUUCAGAAGUCCAAAGUCCAAGGAUAAGAAGCUCGUCAAAUCGAAGGAAACAUCCUUCGACAGCGGCGACGAAGAAAUUAAAACUAUAACGGAGAAGCUUUUAGAAGACACGCGGAAAGUUGCUGAUGUUAGUGUGUUACCAAUCGCAUAUAAAAGUGAUGGCACAAAAGUUAUUCCCAAAGAAGAAAUACGCACUUUUAUAUCAACCGCUCAAUACGAUAUUGAUACUCCCGCGGACAAAAUUGGUAAGUCCUACGAUGUUAUUCAAACAAUAAAGGCCGAGAAAAUUAUCCAUGAAGAGAUAAAUGGGACAACGGACAUCGAUAAAGAGAAAGUUCAGAAAAAGGAAAAAAAGGAUGUCGAAAAACCCGCUGGAGAAGUAAAAUCAGAAAUCCGAGAAGAGAAAGUACCCGAGAUGGAAAAAGACAUAGGCGAUGACAUGAAAGAAAAAAGCGGUGGUUUCUUCGGCAUAUUUAAAAGCCCCAAACUUAAGAGCAAAAAGAGAAGUAGAUCACGAGAACAAAGUUCUUCAAAAGAGACCUCUUUCGAUAGCGGAGAUGAGGAAGUUCGACUGGCAACGGCGAAACUUUUAGAGGACACAAGACAAAUGGCAGAAAACCUACAUCAAACUGAAGAAAAAAUAUUGAAGAGUAAAAGUCCACCUAUAGAUGAAGAAAUAAAAAAAUCUAUUAUUCCCGAGGAUGAAACUGUUGAAAAAGAUAAGGGAAGCGGCAUUUUCGGUAUAUUUAGAAGUCCCAAACAAGCGAGGAAUUCCAGAUCCAGGAGUAGAUCUAAGGAGAAGACACCGUCACUCGAACUGCCAGAUAGUGGCCACGAUGAUUUACGAGAAAUAACUGCAAAAUUUUUAGAGGAUUCACGAAAUAUGGCGAAUAUCACAAGCGAAUUACCUGAUUUGAAAGAUAAAGUUCCUAAAGAUGAUGAAUUAACAAUGGAGACAAAAAAAGUUGAUCAACAAAUUAUAACUCAUACAGAAGAUGUUGAUAAAGUCAACAAAGAUGGCAAAGACACAAUUGUUAAAAAAGUAGAGGACAAAACACGUGAUAUUGCCGACACCAUUGAAACGUCAAAAGACAAGACAGUUAAGGAAGUAAAGAAAGUGAAAGAAAAAGGAUCAGGACUCCUAUCAGGAAUAUUCAAAAGUGCAAAGCAUGUCGUGGAAGAAGCAUCCGAUGACGUAAAAGAAUUCAUGGAAGAUACGAAAAAAGAAGCUGAAUUAGAAGAAGAACGUGUCAAAGAAAAAUUCACUACGAAUCUAAAAGAUCUGAAAGAUAAAAAAGACAUUGUCGUUGGUGAAGUUCAAGAAACUGUAGACAAAGCAUUCGAUGAAGCAAAAGAUGUAAAAGAUAAAACAAUUUCUACAAUAAAAGAUAAAAAGGAUAAAGGUGUCGAAGAAAUUUCAAAAGAUACGCAAAAAAUUGCCGACGCGAAGAAAGCAGCCGACGAAAAAUUGACAAAAGAAACAAAGAAAAUUGGAGAAAAAAUAGGAGCAACUACAACAGAUAUCGCACAAGCAGUCAAGGAUACUAAAGACGCAGCAGAAAAAGAAGUAAAGGAAGAUACAAAAUUAAUAAAAGAAAAAUUGACAGUGGGUAGUGAAGCAGCUGCGGAAAUUGCGGACAGUGCGAAGGAAAAAGCGACGAAAGAAACACAGAAAGCUAAAGAAAAAACAAGUUUUUUCUCCGGCAUUUUUAAAGGUGCAAAACACGCCGUAGAAGAUGCAGCUGACGAUGUUAAAGGAUUUAUAGACGAAACAAAGAAAGAAGCUCAGGUAGAAGAAGAACGAGCCAAAGAAAAAAUUUCUGCGGUAUCGAAGGACUUAAAAGAUAAAAAAGAUGCAACGGUAACAAAAGUAAAGGACGCUGUAGAUCAAGCCGCAGCUGACACGAAACAUGCAAAGGAUAAAGUUGUUGAAGAAGUUUCCAAAGAUGCACGAAAAGUUGUUGAUGCUACAAACGCAGCCGAUGAAAAAAUAACAACAGAAACAAAGAAAGUUGGAGAAAAAAUAGAAGAAACCGCGAAAGAUAUUGCACAAGAUGCCAAGGAUACUAAAGAUGCAGCAGCUAAAGAAGUAAAAGAAGGUACAAAAUUAGUGAAAGAAAAACUAGCAGAAGGUGCUGAAGCAACUGCAGAAGCGACGGACGGUGCAAAGGACAAAGCAACAAAAGAAGCGAAGAAAGCUAAGGAAAAAACAACAGGUUUCUUCUCCGGCAUUUUUAAAGGUGCAAAACACGCUGUAGAAGAUGCAACUGACGACGUUAAAGGAUUUAUAGACGAGACAAAGAAAGAAGCUCAAUUAGAAGAAGAACAAGCCAAAGAAAAAACUUCAGCAGAAUUAAAGGACUUAAAAGAUAAAAAAGAUGCAGCGGUAACAAAAGUUAAGGACGUUGCAGAUCAAGCCGCAGCUGACACGAAACAUGCAAAGGAUAAAAUUUUUGAAGAAGUUUCCAAAGAUGCACAAAAAGUUGCUGAUGCUAAAAAAGCAACCGGUGAAAAAGUGACAACAGAAAUAAAAAAAGUUGAAGAAAAAAUAGAAGAAACCGCGAAAGAUAUUGCACAAGAUGCCAAGGAUACUAAAGAUGCAGCAACUAAAGAAGUUAAAGAAGGUAUAAAAUUAGUGAAAGGAAAACUGGCAGAAGAUGCUGAAGCAGCUGCAGAAGCGGCGGACGGUGCAAAGGACAAAGCAACAAAAGAAGCGAAGAAAGUUAAGGAAAAAACAACAGGUUUCUUUUCUGGCAUUUUUAAAGGUGCAAAACACGCUACUGAGGAUGUAUCUCAUGAUGUUAAAGAAUUUUUAGAUGAAACAAGAAGAGAAGCUUCUUUAGAAAAAGAACGUGUUAAAGAAGAUACUGCGGCAGGUCUUAAAGAUUUGAAAGAUAAGAAGGAUGCAGUGGUAACUGAAAUAAAAGACGUUGCAGUUCAAGCUGCAGCUGAUACUAAACAUGCCAAGGAUAAAACAUUUUCUGCUAUUAAAGAUCAAAAGGAUAAAUUUGUUGAUGAAGUUUCUAAAGAUACGCAAAAAAUUGCCGAUGCUACGAAAGCAGCCGCCGAGAAAAUGACAACGGAAACAAAGAAAGUCGGAGAAAACAUAGAAGAAACCGCGAAAGAUAUUGCACAAGCUGCCAAAGAUACUACAGACGCAGCAACUAAAGAUGUAAAAGAAGAUACAAAAUUAUUAGAAGUAAAAUUGGCGGCAGGUGUUGAAGCUGCUGCAGAAACGACAGACAGUGCAAAGGACAAAGCAACAAAAGAAGCGAAAAAAGCUAAAGAAAAAACAACUGGUUUCUUUAGCAGCAUUUUUAAAGGUGCAAAACACGCCGUAGAAGAUGCAGCUGACGAUGUUAAAGAGUUUAUUGAUGAAACAAAGAAAGAAGCUCAGUUAGAAGAAGAACAAGCUAAAGAAAAAAUUUCUGCGGAAUUAAAGGACUUAAAAGAUAAAAAAGAUGCAGCGGUAACAAAAGUAAGGGACGCUGUAGAUCAAGCCGCAACUGACACGAAACAUGCAAAAGAUAAAGUUGUUGAAGAAGUUUCCAAAGAUGCACAAAAAGUUGCUGAUGCUAAAAAAGCAACCAGUGAGGAAGUGACAACAGAAAUGAAGAAAGUUGGAGAAAAAAUAGAAGAAGCCGCAAAAGAUAUUGCAAAAGAUGUCAAAGAUACUAAAGAUGCAGCAACUAAAGAAGUAAAAGAAGGUACAAAAUUAGUGAAAGAAAAACUAGCAGAAGGUGCUGAAGCAACUGCAGAAGCGGCGGACAGUGCAAAGGACAAAGCAACAAAAGAAGCGAAGAAAGCUAAGGAAAAAACAACAGGUUUCUUCUCCGGCAUUUUUAAAGGUGCAAAACACGCUGUAGAAGAUGCAACUGACGACGUUAAAGGAUUUAUAGACGAGACAAAGAAAGAAGCUCAAUUAGAAGAAGAACAAGCCAAAGAAAAAAUUUCAGCAGAAUUAAAGGACUUAAAAGAUAAAAAAGAUGCAGCGGUAACAAAAGUUAAGGACGUUGCAGAUCAAGCCGCAGCUGACACGAAACAUGCAAAGGAUAAAAUUUUAGAAGAAGUUUCCAAAGAUGCACAAAAAGUUGCUGAUGCUAAAAAAGCAACCGGUGAAAAAGUGACAACAGAAAUAAAAAAAGUUGGAGAAAAAAUAGAAGAAACCGCGAAAGAUAUUGCACAAGAUGCCAAGGAUACUAAAGAUGCAGCAACUAAAGAAGUUAAAGAAGGUACAAAAUUAGUGAAAGGAAAACUGACAGAAGGUGCUGAAGCAGCUGCAGAAGCGGCGGACGGUGCAAAGGACAAAGCAACAAAAGAAGCGAAGAAAGUUAAGGAAAAAACAACAGGUUUCUUUUCUGGCAUUUUUAAAGGUGCAAAACACACUACUGAGGAUGUAUCUCAUGAUGUUAAAGAAUUUUUAGAUGAAACAAGAAGAGAAGCUUCUUUAGAAAAAGAACGUGUUAAAGAAGAUACUGCGGCAGGUCUUAAAAAUUUGAAAGAUAAGAAGGAUGCAGUGGUAACUGAAAUAAAAGACGUUGCAGUUCAAGCUGCAGCUGAUACUAAACAUGCCAAGGAUAAAACAUUUUCUGCUAUUAAAGAUCAAAAGGAUAAAUUUGUUGAUGAAGUUUCUAAAGAUACGCAAAAAAUUGCCGAUGCUACGAAAGCAGCCGCCGAGAAAAUGACAACGGAAACAAAGAAGGUCGGAGAAAACAUAGAAGAAACCGCGAAAGAUAUUGCACAAGCUGCCAAAGAUACUACAGACGCAGCAACUAAAGAUGUAAAGGAAGAUACAAAAUUAUUAGAAGUAAAAUUGGCGGCAGGUGUUGAAGCUGCUGCAGAAACGACAGACAGUGCAAAGGACAAAGCAACAAAAGUAGCGAAAAAAGCUAAAGAAAAAACAACUGGUUUCUUUAGCAGCAUUUUUAAAGGUGCAAAACACGCCGUAGAAGAUGCAGCUGACGAUGUUAAAGAGUUUAUUGAUGAAACAAAGAAAGAAGCUCAGUUAGAAGAAGAACAAGCUAAAGAAAAAAUUUCUGCGGAAUUAAAGGACUUAAAAGAUAAAAAAGAUGCAGCGGUAACAAAAGUAAGGGACGCUGUAGAUCAAGCCGCAACUGACACGAAACAUGCAAAGGAUAAAAUUGUUGAAGAAGUUUCCAAAGAUGCACAAAAAGUUGCUGAUGCUAAAAAAGCAACCAGUGAGGAAGUGACAACAGAAAUGAAGAAAGUUGGAGAAAAAAUAGAAGAAGCCGCAAAAGAUAUUGCAAAAGAUGUCAAGGAUACUAAAGAUGCAGCAACUAAAGAAGUAAAAGAAGGUACAAAAUUAGUGAAAGAAAAACUAGCAGAAGGUGCUGAAGCAACUGCAGAAGCGGCGGACGGUGCAAAGGACAAAGCAACAAAAGAAGCGAAGAAAGCUAAGGAAAAAACAACAGGUUUCUUCUCCGGCAUUUUUAAAGGUGCAAAACACGCUGUAGAAGAUGCAACUGACGACGUUAAAGGAUUUAUAGACGAGACAAAGAAAGAAGCUCAAUUAGAAGAAGAACGAGCCAAAGAAAAAAUUUCAGCAGAAUUAAAGGACUUAAAAGAUAAAAAAGAUGCAGCGGUAACAAAAGUUAAGGACGUUGCAGAUCAAGCCGCAGCUGACACGAAACAUGCAAAGGGUAAAAUUUUUGAAGAAGUUUCCAAAGAUGCACAAAAAGUUGCUGAUGCUAAAAAAGCAACCGGUAAAAAAGUGACAACAGAAAUAAAAAAAGUUGGAGAAAAAAUAGAAGAAACCGCGAAAGAUAUUGCACAAGAUGCCAAGGAUACUAAAGAUGCAGCAGCUAAAGAAGUAAAAGAAGGUACAAAAUUAGUGAAAGAAAAACUAGCAGAAGGUGCUGAAGCAACUGCAGAAGCGGCGGACAGUGCAAAAGACAAAGCAACAAAAGAAGCGAAGAAAGCUAAGGAAAAAACAACAGGUUUCUUCUCCGGCAUUUUUAAAGGUGCAAAACACGCUACUGAGGAUGUAUCUCAUGAUGUUAAAGAAUUUUUAGAUGAAACAAGAAGAGAAGCUUCUUUAGAAAAAGAACGUGUUAAAGAAGACGCCGCGGCAGGUCUUAAAGAUUUAAAAGAUAAGAAGGAUGCAGUGGUAACGGAAAUAAAAGACGCUGUAGAUCAAACUGCAGCUGAUACGAAACAUGCCAAGGAUAAAACAAUUUUUGCUAUUAAAGAUCAAAAGGAUAAACUUGUUGAAGAAGUUUCUAAAGAUGCGCAAAGAAUUGCCGAUGCUACGAAAGCAGGCGCCGAGAAAGUGACAACGGAAACAAAGAUGGUCGGAGAAAACAUAGAAGAAACCGCGAAAGAUAUUGCACAAGUUGCCAAAGAUACUACAGAUGCAGCAGCUAAAGAUGUAAAGGAAGGUACAAAAUUAUUAGAAGAAAAAUUGGCGGCAGGUGUUGAAGCUGCUGCAGAAGCGACAGACAGUGCAAAGGACAAAGCAACAAAAGAAGCGAAAAAAGCUAAAGAGAAAACAAGUGGUUUCUUUAGUAGUAUUUUUAAAGGCUCAAAACACACCGUAGAAGAUGCAGCUGACGAUGUUAAAGGAUUUAUUGAUGAGACAAAGAAGGAAACUCAGUUAGAAGAAGAACAAGCUAAAGAUAAAAUUUCUGCGGAAUUAAAGAACUUAACAGAUAAAAAAGAUGCAGCAGUAACAAAAGUGAAGGACGUUGCAGAUCAAGCCGCAGCUGACACAAAACAUGGGAAGGAUGAAAUUGUUGGAGAAGUUUCUAAAGGUGCUCAAAAAGUUGCUGAGGUUACAAAAACAGCCGGGGAGAAAGUGACAACAAAAACAAAGGAGGUCGGAGAGAAAAUAGAAGAAACCGCGAAAGAUAUUGCACAAACUGCCAAGGACGCAAAAGAUGCAGCAAUUGAAGAAGUAAAAGAAGAUACAAAAAUGGUAAAAGAAAAAUUGGAAUCAGGUGCUAAAGCGGCUGUGGAAGCUGUGGACAGUACAAAAGACAAAGCGACGAAUGAAGCGAAGAAAGCUAAAGAAAAAUCAACUGGUUUCUUUACUGGCAUUUUUAAAGGUGCAAAACACGUCGUAGAAAAUGCAACUGACGAUGUUAAAGAAUUUAUGGACGAAACAAAAAAAGAAGCUGAAAUGGAAGAAGAACGAGCCAAAGAAAGAAUUUCUGCUGACCUCAAAGCUCUAAAGGAUAAAAAAGAUACAAUCGCAACAAAAGUAAAAGACGUUGCAGAUAAAGCUGCAGCUGAUGCGAAACAUGUGAAGGAUGAUGCAAUUUCUACUGUUAAAGAUCAAAAGGAUAAAGUUGUCGAUGUUACGAAAGCAGCCGCUGAAAAAGUGACAAGAGACACAAAAGAGAUUAGUGAAAAAAUACAAGAAACCGCAACAGAUUUUGCACAAGCUGCUAAAGAUUCUAAAGAUGCAGCUGCUAAAGAAGUAAACGAAGAUACAGAAUUAGUAAAAGAAACAUUGACAGCAAGUGCUGAAGCGGCUGCGGAAGCUGCGGAUAGUGCGAAGGAAAAAGUGUCAAAAGAAACGAAAAAAGCUAAAGAGAAAACAUCGGGUUUCUUCUCCGGCAUCUUUAAAGGUGCAAAACACGCCGCUGAGGAUACAUCUCAUGAUGUCAAAGAAUUUUUGGAUAAAACAAGAAGAGAAGCUUCUUUAGAAAAAGAACGUGUUAAAGAAGAUACCACGGCAGGUCUUAAAGAUUUACAAGAUAAGAAGGAUGCAGUGGUAACUGAAACAAACGCCGCUGCAGAUCAUGUCGCAUCUGAUAUGAAACGUGCUAAGGAUAAAACAAUUUUUGCUAUUAAAGAUGAAAAGGAUAAAGCUAUUGAGGAAGUUUUCAAAGACACGCAAAGAGUUGCCGAUGCUGCUAAAGCAGCCGAUAAGAAAUUGACAAAAGAAACAAAGAAAAUUGAAGAAAAAAUUGGAGCAACUGCAACAGAUAUUGCACAAGCAACCAAGGAUACUAAAGACGCAACAGCUAAAGAAGUAAAGGAAGAUACAAAAUUAAUAAAAGAAAAAUUGACAGCAAGUGCUGAAGCGGUUACGGAAGCUGCGGAUAGUGCGAAGGAAAAAGCGACGAAAGAAGCAAAGAAAACUAAAGAAAAAGCAUCACGUUUUUUCUCCGGAAUUUUCAAAGGUGCAAAACACAGCGUAGAAGAUGCAGCUGAAGAUGUUAAAGAAUUUAUUGACGAGAGAAAGAAAGAAGGUCAGUUAGAAGAAGAACAAGCCAGAGAAGAAAUUUCUGCGGAACUAAAGGAAUUAAAAGAUAAAAAAGAUGCAACGGUAACAAAAGUAAAGGACGCUACAGAUCAAGCCGCAGCUGACACGAAACAUGCAAAGGAUAAAGUUGUUGAAGAAGUUUCCAAAGAUGCGCAGAAAGUUACUGAGACUACGAAAGCAGCCGUUGAUAAAGUGACAACAGAAACAAAGAAAGUUGGAGAAAAAAUAGAUAAAGCCGCGACAGAUAUUGCACAAGCUGCCAAGGAUACUAAAGAUGCAGCAGCUGAAGAAAUUAAGGAAGAUUCACAAUUAGUAAAAGAAAAAUUAGCAGCAGGUGUUGAAGCAGCUGUGGAAACGGCGGACAGUGCGAAGGAUAAAACGUUAAAAGAAACGAAGAAAGCUAAAGAAAAAGCAACUGGUUUCUUUUCUGGCAUUUUUAAAGGUGCAAAACACGCUUCUGACGAUGCAUCUCACGAUGUCAAGGAAUUUUUGGAUGAGACGAGAAGAGAAGCUUCUUUAGAGAAAGACCGUGUUAAGGAUGAUGUUACCGCAGGUCUUGAACAUUUAAAAGAUGAAAAGGAUGCAGUUAUAACUGAUGUUCAAAAAACUAUGGGGCAAGCUAUUGCUGACGUAAAAGAUGCAAAGGAUAAAACAAUUUCUGCAGUCAAAGACAAAAAGGAUGAAAUUGGGGAAGAAAUUUCGAAAGAAACUAAAAAAUUUGUAGAUACUACGAAAGCAGCCGGUGAAAAAAUUGCACUGGAAACAAAGAAAGUUGAAGAGAAUAUAGGAGAAACGGUCACAGAUAUUGCGAAAGAUAUUAAAGAUACUAAAGAUGAAGCCAUAAGAGAGGCAAAAGAAGAUACAAAAAAAGUAAAAGAAAAAUUGGCGACAGGUAUUGAUGCAGCUACGGAAACUUUAGAUAGCACAAAGAAAAAAGCAUCGAAAGAUGCGAAGAAAGUUAAAGAAAGAGCAAGUGGGUUUUUCUCCGGCAUUUUCAAGGGAGCCAGACACGCCGCUGACGAAGCAGCUGACGAUGUUAAAGAAUUUGUGGAUGAGACGAAAAAAGAAGCUGUGUUGGAAGAAGGGCGUGCUAAGGAAAAAGUUGGUGCAGAUUUAAAAGAUUUGAAGGACAAAAAAGACACAGCCGUUACUGAAGUUCAAGAAGCUAUAGAUAAAACUGGUGAUAAAGCAAAAAUUGUAAAAGAUAAAACGGUUUCUACACUAAAAGACAAGAAGGAUAAAGUUGUCGAGGAAAUUUCGAAAGAUAUGCAAAAAGUUGUGGAUGUUACAAAAGCAGCCGGUGAGAAAGUGACAACAGAAACAAAAAAGGUCGAAGAAAAAAUAGAAGAAACCGCAAAAGAUAUUACGCAAGAUGGCAAGGAUACUAAAGAUGCAGCAACUAAAGAAGUAAAAGAAAGUACAAAAUUGGUGAAAGAAAAACUAGCAGAAGGUGCUGAAGCAGCUGCAGAAGCGGCGGACAGUGCAAAGGAUAAAGCAACAAAAGAAGCGAAGAAAGCUAAGGAAAAAACAACAGGUUUCUUCUCCGGCAUUUUUAAAGGUGCAAAACACGCAGUAGAAGAUGCAACCGACAAUGUUAAAGAAUUUAUGGACGAGACAAAGAAAGAAGCUCAGUUAGAAGAAGAACAAGUCAAGAAAAAAAUAUCAGCGGAGCUCAACGAUGUAAAAGAUAAAAGAGAUGCAGUAGUAACAAAAGUAAAAGACGCUGCAGAUCAAGCCACAGUUGAUAUAAAACAUGCGAAAGAUGAAGCAACUUCUGCUGUUCAAGAUCAAAAGGAUAACGUUGUUGAAAAAGUUUCCAUAAAUGAACAAAAAGUUGCUGAUGCUACAAAAGCAGCCGCUGAGAAAAUGACAACGGAAACAAAGAAGGCCGCAGAAGAAAUAGAAAAAACCAUGAUAGAUACUGCAAAAGCGGCCAAAGGCACUAAAGAUGCAGCAACUAAAGAAGUAAAGGAAGAUAAAAUAUUAAUAAAAGAAAAACUGACAGCAGGUACUGAAGCAGCUGCAGAAGUGGCAGACAGCACAAAGGACAAAGCAACAAAAGAAGCGAAGAAAACUAAAGAAAAAACAACAGGUAUUUUCUCUGGCAUUUUUAAAGCUGCAAAACAUGCCGUAGAAGAUGCAACUGAUGACGUUAAAGGAUUUAUAGACGAAACAAAGAAAGAAGCUCAAUUAGAAGAAGAACAAGCCAAAGAAAAAAUUUCAGCAGAAUUAAAGGACUUAAAAGAUAAAAAAGAUGCAGCGGUAACAAAAGUAAAGGACGUUGCAGAUCAAGCCGCAACUGACACGAAACAUGCAAAGGAUAAAAUUGUUGAAGAAGUUUCCAAAGAUGCACAAAAAGUUGCUGAUGCUAAAAAAGCAACCGGUGAGAAAAUGACAACAGAAAUAAAGAAAGUUGAAGAAAAAAUAGAAGAAACUGCAAAAGAUAUUGCACAAGAUGCCAAGGAUACUAAAGAUGCAGCAACAAAAGAAGUAAAAGAAGGUACAAAAUUGGUUAAAGAAAAACUGAUAGAAGGUGCUGAAACAGCUGGAGAAGCAGCGGACAGUGCAAAGGACAAAGCAAUCAAAGAAACGAAGAAAGCUAAAGAAAAAACAACAGGUUUCUUCUCCGGCAUUUUUAAAGGUGCGAAACACGCUACUGAGGAUGUAUCUCAUGAUGUUAAAGAAUUUUUAGAUGAAACAAGAAGAGAAGCUUCUUUAGAAAAAGAACGUGUUAAAGAAGACGCUGCGGCAGGUCUUAAAGAUUUAAAGGAUAAGAAGGAUGCAGUGGUUACUGAAAUAAAAGACGCUGUAGGUCAAGCUGCAGCUGACACGAAACAUGCCAAGGAUAAAACAAUUUCUGCUGUUAAAGAUCAAAAGGAUAAAAUUGUUGAAGAAGUUUCCAAAGAUGCACAAAAAGUCGCCGGUGCUUCGAAAGCAGCCACUGAGAAAGUGACAACAGAAACAAAGAUGAUCGGAGAAAAAAUAUUAGAAGCCGCAACAGAUAUUACACAAGCUGGCAAGGAUGCUAAAGAUACUACAGUUACAGAAAUAAAGGAUGACGCUAAAUUAGUGAAGGAAAAAUUGGCGGUAGGUGUUGAAGCGGCUGCAAAAGCUGCGGAGAGUGCAAAGGAUAAAGCAACGAAGGAAACGAAGAAAGCCAAAGAGAAAACAACUGGUUUCUUUUCUGGCAUUUUUAAAGGUGCAAAACACGCUGCUGACGAUGCAUCUCACGAUGUCAAGGAAUUUUUGGAUGAGACGAGAAGAGAAGCUUCUUUAGAGAAAGACCGUGUUAAGGAUGAUGUUACCGCAGGUCUUGAACAUUUAAAAGUUGAGAAGGAUGCAGCCGUAACCGGAGUUGAAGGAGCUAUUGGCCAAGCUAUUGCUGACGUGAAAGAUACAAAGGAUAAAACAGUUUUAGCAGUCAAAGAUAAAAAGGAUGAAAUUGGAGAAGAUGUUUCAAAGAAAACUCAAAAAAUUAUUGAUGCUACCAAAGCAGCUGAUGAGAAAAUUUCAAUGGAAACGAAAAAAGUUGAAGAGAAAAUAGAAGAAACAGUUGCAGAUAUUACAGACAGCAUCAAAGACACUAAAGAUAAAGCGAUUGAAGGAGCAAAAGAAGAUAAGAAAAAAAUAAAAGAAAAGUUAGCAACACGUAUUGAUGCUGCUGCAGAAACUGUAGACAGUACAAAGAAAAAAGCAAUGAAGGAAGCAAAAAAAGCUAAAGAAAGAACAAGUGUGUUUCUCUCUGGCAUCUUUAAAGGAUCUAAACACUCCGUUGACGAAGCCGCUGACGAUGUUAAAGAUUUUACGGACGAGUUAAAGAAAGGAGCUCGAGUGGAAGAAGAAGAAGCUAAAGAAAAGAUUUUUGUGGAUUAUGAAGAUUUAAAAGAUAAAAAGGAUGCAGUAGUAACAAAAGAAGACGCCACAGAUCAAGUCGUAGCUGAUACGAAAAAUGCAAAAGAUAAAGCAAUUUCUACUCUUAAAGAUCAGAAGGAUAAAAUUGUUGAAGAAGUUUCCAAAGAUGUACAAAAAGUUGUUGAUGCUACAAAAGCAGUUGGUGAAAAAAUGACAACAGAAACAAAGAAAGUCGGAGAAAAAAUAGAAGAAACCGCGAAAGAUAUUGAACAAGCUGCCAAGGAGGCUAAAGAUGUAGCAACUAAAGAAGUAAAGGAAGGUACGAAAGUGACAAAAGAAAAAUUAACAGCAGCUGUUGAAGCAGUUGGGGAAGCUGCAGACAGUGCAAAAGAAAAAGCGACGAAAGAAACAAAGAAAACUAAAGAAAAAACAACUGGUUUUUUUUCCGGAAUCUUUAAAGGUGCAAAGCACGCCGUAGAAGAUGCAGCUGACGAUGUUAAAGAAUUUAUGGACGAAACCAAGAAAGAAGCUCAAUUAGAAGAAGAACGAGCCAAAGAAAAGAUUUCUACGGAUUAUGAAGAUUUAAAAGAUAAAAAGCAUGCAAUUGUAACAAAAGUAAAGGACGCUGUAGAUCAAGCUGCAGCUGAUACAAAGCGUGCAAAGGAUAAAACAAUUUCUGCUGUUAAAGAUCAAAAAGAUAUGGUCGUGGAAGAAAUUUCCAAAGAUACGCAAAAAGUUGCCGAUACUACGAAAGCAGCCGCUGAGAAAGUGACAACGGAAACAAAGAAGGUCGGAGAAAAAAUUAAAGAAACUGCGACAGAUAUUGCACAAGCUGCCAAGGAUACAAAAGACGCAGCGGCUAAAGAAGUUAAAGAAGAUGCACAAUUAGUGAAAGAAAAAUUGGCAGCAGGUGUUGAAGCAGCUGCGGAAAUGGCGGGCAGUGCGAAGGAUAAAACGUCAAAAGAAACAAAGAAAGCUAAAGAAAAAACAACUGGUUUCUUUUCCGGCAUUUUUAAAGGUGCAAAACACGCCGCUGACGAUGCAUCUCAUGAUGUUAAGGAAUUUUUGGAUGAGGCGAAAAGAGAAGCUUCUUUAGAAAAAGAACGUGUUAAAGAAGAUGCUGCGGCAGGUCUUAAAAGUUUAAAAGAUGAAAAGGAUGCAGUAGUAACAAAAGUAAAAGACGCUGCAGAUCAAGUUGCAGCUGAUACGAAACAUGCCAAGGAUGAAGCAAUUUCUGCUAUUAAAGAUCAAAAGGAUAAAGUUGUUAAAGAAGUUUCCAAAGAUGCGCAAAAAGUUGGCGAUGCUACGAAAGUAGCCACUGAGAAAGUGACAACGGAAACAAAGAAGGUCGCAGAAAAAAUAGGAGAAGCCGCGACAGAUAUUGCACAAAUUGCCAAGGAUACUAAAGACGCAGCAGCUAAAGAAGUAAAGGAAGAUACAAAAUUAAUAAAAGAAAAAGUGGCAACAGGUGCUGAAGCGGCUGCGGAAGCUGCGGACAGUACAAAAGACAAAGUGACGAAGGAAGCAAAAAAAGCUAAAGAGAAAACAACUGGUUUCUUCUCCGGUAUCUUUAAAGGUGCAAAACACGCUGCUGAAGAAGCAUCUGAUGAUGUCAAGGAAUUUUUGGAUGAUACGAGAAGAGAAGCUUCUUUAGAAAAAGAACGCGUUAAAGAAGAAGUUGCUGUAGGACUCAAAGAUCUGAAAGAUGAGAAAGAUGUAGUUUUAACCGGAGUUCAAGAAGCUGUUGACCAAACUAUUGGUGACGUGAAAAAUGCAAAAGAAAGAGCUAUUUCUGUUGCUAAAGAUAAGAAAGACAAAAUUGUAGAAGUAGUUUCAAAGGAUACACAAGAAAAUAUUGAUAUUACAAAAGCAGCUGGUGAAAAAGUAACGUUGGAAGUGGAAAAGAUCGAUGAGAAGAUAGAAGAAACUGCAGCGGAUGUUGCAAAAGCUGUCAAAGACACUAAAGUUACAGUAACUAAAGAAGUGAAAAAGGAUGCAAAGAAAUUAAAAGAGCAAUUGAUAGCAAGUGCUGACACUGCCGCGGAAGUUAUGGAUCAUGCAAAAGAUAAAGCAAAAGAAACAAAGAAAACUAAGGAGAAAACAGGUCGCUUUUUUUCUGGAAUAUUUAAAAGUGCAAAACAUUCUGUAGAAGAUGCAUCUGACGAUGUUAAACAAUUUUUGGAUGAAACAAAGAGAGAAGCAUCUGUUGAAAAAGAACUUAUUAAGGAAGAAAUUAUUGCUGAUCUCAAGGAUUUAAAAUAUAAGGAAGACGCUGUCUUAACUGAAGUUGAACAAGUCGCAGAUCAAACUAUCAUUGAUGUAAAAGGUGAUAAGGAUAGAACCAUUUCAGCUGCGAACGAUAAGAUAGAUAAAAUUAUUGAUAAAGUUUCCAGAGAUACACGGAAAGUUGUUGACACUACAAAAACAGCCGUUGAGAAAGCAGCAACAGAAACAAAGGAAGUCGGUGAAAAGAUAGAAGAAUCCGCGACAGAUGUUGCACAAGCUGUGAAAGACACUAAAGAUGCAGCAGUUGAUGAAAUAAAGGAAGAUGUAAAUUUAGUGAAAAAAAAAUUAACAAUAGGUACUGAUGCGACUACAGAAGCUGUUGAUAGUGCAAAGAAUAAAGUAGCAAAAGAAGCAAAAAAAUCUAAAGAGAAAACAAGUGGUUUCUUUUCUGGGAUAUUUAAAGGCGCGAAACAUGUUGUAGAAGAUACUACUGACGACGUUAAAGAAUUUUUAGAUGAAACAAAACAUGAGGCAGAAUUGGAAGAAGCUCGUGCUAAGAAAGCAGCAGCGGCUGGAUUGAAAGAUAUUGAACAUAAAAAAGAUACUGUCGUUACUGGUGUAAAAGAAACAACUGAUCGAGCUGUCACUGGAAUAAAAGACGCCAAAGACAAGACUAUUGCCGCAGCAAAAGAUACAAAAGAUCAAAUCACAGAAAAAGUUUUUGAAGAUAUUAACAAAGGUGCUGAUGCGGCCAAGACUACUAAAGAUAAAGUAACUUUAGAAAUGAAAGAAAUUAGUGAAAAAAUAGAUUUGACAGCGCAGAAUGUUGCACAAAAGGUCUCGGACACCAAAGAUGCGGUUGUUAAACAAAUGCAUGAUGAUACUAAAAAGGUUAAAGAGAAAUUGGCAGCAGGAGUCGAAGCCGUGGCCGACAGUGCUGAAAUCUCUAAGACUAAAACAACUAAAGAAGCAAAAAAAGCUAAAGAAAAAGGAUCUGGCUUUUUAUCCGGCAUAUUUAAAAGUGCAAAGCACGCCGCAGGUGAUGCCACUGACGAUGUCAAAGAAUUUUUUGAUGAGACUGAGAAGGAAAUUUUAUUAGAACAAAAACAUGCUAAAGAGAAAUCUACAGCUACUUUCAAGGACUUGAAGGACAAAGAAGACGCUGCAGUUACCAAAGUUCAAGAAGUUAUAGAUAGAACUAUCACUGAUGUGAAAGAUGCAAAGGAAAAAAUUAUUGAUGACAUUUCCAAAGAUACCCAAAAGAUUAUUGAUAUCACGAAAGCAACUGGCGAGAAAGCUGUAACAGAAACAAAGAAGAUUGAUGAAAAGGUAGAAGCAACCACGGUUAUACAAGAUGUUAAAGACGCGAAAGAUGCAGUGACUAAAGAACUGAAAGAUAAUGCAAAAUUAGUAAAAGAAAAGUUAACAACUAGUAUCGAUGCUGUAGCCGAUAGUGCUGAAACUACUAAAGAUAAAGCCGCGAAAAGUGCAAAAAAAGCUAAAGAAAAAGGAUCUGGUUUUCUGUCAGGUAUAUUUAAAGGCGCCAAGCAUUCCGUUGAAGGCGCUGUAGAUGACGUCAAAGAAUUUUUAAUUGAAACAAAACGCGAGGCAGAACUAGAAGAAAUUCACGCUAAAGAAGCAGCAACAACUGAAUUGAAAGAACUAGAACAUAAAAAGGAUGCUAUUGUUACUGAUAUAAAAGAUACAACUGAUCGGGCUAUCGCUGAAAUAAAAGAUACCAAAGACAAAACUAUCACUGCAGCGAAAGAUACGAAGGAUAAAGUCACAGAGAAAGUUUUUGAAGAUAUUAACAAAGGCGCUGAUAUGGUUAAGGCUACCAAAGAUAAAGUAACUUCAGAAAUAAAAGAAAUUGGAGAAAAAAUGGAUUUGACAGCGCGAGAAGUUGCACAAGAAGUUGCAGAUACCAAAGAUGCAGUUGUCAAGGAAGUACAGGAUGAUACGAAAAAAGUGAAAGAGAAAUUAGUAACGAGACCUGAAGCCGUGAUCGAUAAUGCUGAAGCAGCUAAGAAUAAAGCAACUAAAGAAACGAAGAAAGCUAAAGAAAAGGGAUCUCGUUUUCUUUCGGGAAUAGUUAAAGGCGCAAAACACGCUGUUGAUAGCACAAGGGACGAUAUCAAAGAAUUUCUGGAUGAAACAAAGCACGAAGCAAAAUUAGAAGAAGCUCGUGCUAAAGAAACUGCUGCUAGUGAUUUGAAGAAACUAGAACACGAUAAAAGCGUCAGUAGUAUAAAAGGCACUACGAAAAAAAUAGUAGCUGAUGUCAAAGACGCGAGAACUAAAAUUUCCGAGACAGCGGCCAAAACGACGAUUGCAGUUGAUAAGCUACCGACUAAAACGAAGAAAGUAAGUGAGAAAAUAGAAACUACAGAUAUGGCUCAUGAUAUAAGAAAAAAUCUUCCUGAAGAAAUAAAAGAGGAUACAAAGACGGUGAAGGAUAAAUUACUCAUGAGUGCUUCUAUCACGCAUGGUACCAAAACGGCUAAAGACGAGCUUAUGAAAGACUCCAAAGAAACGAAGGAUACGGGUUUGGAUUUCCUUUCUGAUGUUAUUCAGGACACAAAACAGACAGGAAAGGAAAUUUCCGAUGACGUGAAAGACUUUUUGGAAGUAAUCAGGCAGGAAGCAGCUUCUGAUGAAGCACUUGCUAGAGAAGCCGCAGCGGCAAGACAGAAAGAACUCGAACAAACGAAGGAUAAAAUCGCAGAUGAAAUUAAAACUGCUACUAGUAAGGCGGUGAAAGAUGUGAAAGACGCUAAGCAUAAGGAUCUUUCCAGUAUAAAAGGUGCGAAAAAUAAAACAAUUUCCACUGUAAAAGCAGCGGGAAGUAAAAUAGGACAAAGUGUGUCGCAAGCUGGUGAGAAAAUUAAGUCUACUGGUCAAGAUAUGACGCAGAAGACUAAACGCACUAAAGAUGCCGUCGUAAGCGAAACAAAGGAAGACGCACGAGUAGUUAAAGGAAAACUGGCAACAGGUACAGGUACAAUCGCCAGUGCGACGGAAACCGCUAAAACCAAAACCGUAAAAGAAGUUAAAAAGGUCAAACAAAAAGCAGGUGGUUUUAUAUCAGGUGUAGUAAAGAGUGCUAAACACGCAGUAGAAGACGCAACGGAUGAUAUGAAGGACUUUUUAGAAGAAACGAAACAGGAGGCAACCGCAGAGGAAGCUCGCGCCAAGAGCGAUCUUGCUCAAGCGAAAGAUAAAUCUACCAAGUCAACUGACGCGAAAGAAAAAUCUGUCGGCGUCGUCAAAACUGCAAGAAAAAGUCCCCCAAAAGUGACAAAACCACUAACGGAUGUGAAAGGCGCGGGUAAAGCUUCACCCAUCACUAAGAGAAUGAGCAAAGAAAUGCCAACGUCAGAAACGAGAAGAGGUGAUAAAGUAGGAUCGAAACGCACAAGCUCAGAGAGUGCUCAUGAGGUAGUUGGUCGUAGUUGGGAGGAUAGUCUUCGUAGGUCUGAUGUAGUUAGCAAACCGGCGACGUCCGGUGGCGUCGAGCAUUUAACCCAGACAGUUAGCGUUAAGAAAGUAUCUCGCAUUCCACAAAAGAUUAGUUCGGGUAAAGAGUCGAUCGCGGACGAUUCAGACACUUCGCGUAGAGUAGUAGAGAGUACAGUAACUACGAUAGGGCACCCCGAGCCUCGCACACGGCAAUCCGUCACCACAAUCGUGACAAAGUCUGUGCGAACGACCCCACCGCCACCCAGUUCACUCGCCGAGUUCACUGACAGUAGAACCGAAGACGUGACCAAAGAGGCUACGCGACGGGCACAAAACCUGGCGGACCAGGCGUACACCUCGACAAAAACAGGCAAUAGGAUAGAACCGAAGACUAGGAUGAAGACAUCCGGUAGAGCCAGCUGCGCGCGUUGGAUGAGCAUAGCUGUCGCUGUGCUGGUACUUCUAAUAGCGCUUAUACUUGCCCUGGAGCCACAAAUAUUUCGCCGUGUCAUCUACACUCUGUCUAAUAAUGUCCCGAGGCAAGCCGGAAUCUGACUUUUUGCAACAUAGCGAGCCAUCCUUCAUGGAAACGACAACGAUCGAGGUGGAUCCUGUUACUCAGGAAAGCAUAACAACGACUACGCGAACAGAAACGAGGACGAUAUCGUCUACUGGAGCCGGUGGCACAGAUGAUUUG
Molecule: unclassified non-coding RNA, 26178 nt
Filed under: Monomorium pharaonis (pharaoh ant)
Lineage: Eukaryota; Metazoa; Arthropoda; Insecta; Hymenoptera; Formicidae
Description: ankyrin-3, transcript variant X4
Source: RNAcentral